RNAcentral lists this ribosomal RNA (253 nucleotides) under uncultured bacterium. RNAcentral's name for it is "partial 16S ribosomal RNA". It matches the Rfam family "Bacterial small subunit ribosomal RNA", at positions 524 to 776 of the family's 1533-position model. The record is from RNAcentral.
UACGUAGGGUGCGAGCGUUGUCCGGAAUUAUUGGGCGUAAAGCGCACGUAGGCGGCCUGAUAAGUCGGGUGUGAAAGCCCUGGGCUCAACCCAGGAAGUGCACUCGAAACUGUCAGGCUUGAAUAUGGAAGAGGGUCGCGGAAUUCCCGGUGUAGAGGUGAAAUUCGUAGAUAUCGGGAGGAACACCAGUGGCGAAGGCGGCGACCUGGGCCAAUAUUGACGCUGAGGUGCGAAAGCGUGGGGAGCAAACAGG